AAAGAAAUACUAUAAAAAAAGCUUCUAACUUUUUAAAAAGCAUGUUGAUGUUUAUAUUUCUUUCCAAU
This 68-nucleotide transfer RNA is filed under the name Calopteron sp. UPOL 000L25. RNAcentral describes it as "partial tRNA-Ser". Lineage: Eukaryota; Metazoa; Arthropoda; Insecta; Coleoptera; Lycidae. The record is from RNAcentral.